RNAcentral lists this ribosomal RNA (253 nucleotides) under uncultured bacterium. RNAcentral describes it as "partial 16S ribosomal RNA". It matches the Rfam family "Bacterial small subunit ribosomal RNA", at positions 524 to 776 of the family's 1533-position model. The record is from RNAcentral.
UACGUAGGGUGCAAGCGUUGUCCGGAAUUAUUGGGCGUAAAGAGCUCGUAGGCGGUUUGUCGCGUCGAAUGUGAAAACCCGGGGCUCAACCCCGGGCCUGCAUUCGAUACGGGCAGACUAGAGUUCGGUAGGGGAGUCUGGAAUUCCUGGUGUAGCGGUGAAAUGCGCAGAUAUCAGGAGGAACACCGGUGGCGAAGGCGGGACUCUGGGCCGAAACUGACGCUGAGGAGCGAAAGCGUGGGGAGCAAACAGG